Molecule: transfer RNA, 72 nt
Filed under: Bos taurus (domestic cattle)
Lineage: Eukaryota; Metazoa; Chordata; Mammalia; Artiodactyla; Bovidae
Also listed under: 3 other names
Rfam family: tRNA
About the family: Transfer RNA (tRNA) molecules are approximately 80 nucleotides in length. Their secondary structure includes four short double-helical elements and three loops (D, anti-codon, and T loops).
Source: Rfam by way of RNAcentral
UCCUUGGUGGCUCAGUGGUAAAGAAUCUGCCUGCCAAUGCAGAAGACAUGGGUUCAAUCCCUAGUCCAGGAA